RNAcentral lists this ribosomal RNA (253 nucleotides) under uncultured bacterium. RNAcentral describes it as "partial 16S ribosomal RNA". It matches the Rfam family "Bacterial small subunit ribosomal RNA", at positions 524 to 776 of the family's 1533-position model. The record is from RNAcentral.
UACGUAGGGGGCAAGCGUUGUCCGGAAUCAUUGGGCGUAAAGAGCGUGUAGGCGGCUUGGUAAGUCCGCUGUGAAAGUCCAGGGCUCAACCCUGGAAUGCCGGUGGAAACUGUCAGGCUCGAGUCCGGAAGAGGCGAGUGGAAUUCCUGGUGUAGCGGUGAAAUGCGCAGAUAUCAGGAAGAACACCCGUGGCGAAGGCGGUUCUCUGGGACGGUACUGACGCUGAGACGCAAAAGCGUGGGGAGCGAACAGG